Zea mays is the source of this 211-nucleotide long non-coding RNA. RefSeq lists it as uncharacterized. The record is from RefSeq and is a predicted model, not a curated record. Lineage: Eukaryota; Viridiplantae; Streptophyta; Magnoliopsida; Poales; Poaceae. The transcript is spliced from 2 exons.
AGCUGAGGAAGUAAUAUUGGGUGCAUGCUUGUGACGCAGGCGAUGAACCAUGCUAUGCUGGUGUCCCUAUGUCUACAAUUAUUGAACAGGGUUAUGGAGUUGGUGAUGUUAUUUCUCUUUUGUGGUUCAAGCGCAGCCUUCCUCGCUAUUGCACUCAGUUUAUUGAGAUAUGCGUCAUGCUUUGUGCUGACCAUGGUCCCUGUGUAUCUGG